CUCGAAACCCCUGACAGUGUGGUGGAACCAUCUUUCUGUGGUUCUUACACUGAAUCUGAGCCGACGUGCAUGAUGCAUCAUCAGAGGCCGAAGAAGAUGAUGGCUUUUGAAGGUGCUUUGACUGGGAGGCGUUUCCUGGGUUGUCCUGUGCAGCAGGAUGUAGGUGUGAACUGUGGGGUUGUGGAGUGGAUGGAUGGUCCUUGGCCAGAGAUUCUACAAAGGUGCCUAACCAGGAUUUGGGACAUGUGCCAUGAGCAGAACUUGGGGAGGGUGAAUGACAAACAAGCCCAUGAGAAAGAGGUGGCCAAGCUACAGAAGGAAAUUGAUUUCCUGUCAAACAACUACAAC
Molecule: ribosomal RNA, 348 nt
Filed under: Triticum aestivum (bread wheat)
Lineage: Eukaryota; Viridiplantae; Streptophyta; Magnoliopsida; Poales; Poaceae
Description: partial small subunit ribosomal RNA
Source: RNAcentral